AACGCGAAGAACCUUACCUGGCCUUGACACAGAGAACUUGGCAGAGAUGCUUUGGUGCCUGGGAACUGAGACAGGUGCUGCAUGGCUGGAGCGUGUUGUGAAAUGUUGGGUUAAGCCGCAACGAGCGCAACCCUUACUUUGUUGCCAGCGGCGGCCGGGAACAAAGGAGACUGCCAGUGAUAAACUGGAGGAAGGUGGGGAUGACGAAGAAUGGCCCUUACGGCCAGGGCUACACACGUGCUACAAUGGCGCAUACAAAGAGAAGCGACCGCGAGAGCAAGCGGACCAUAAAGUGCGGUAGCGGAGGAGUGCAACGACCGUGAAGGGAAGCUAGUAAGUAGAAGAAUGCUACGGUGAAUACGUCCGGGUUGUACACACCG
RNAcentral lists this ribosomal RNA (380 nucleotides) under uncultured Pseudomonadota bacterium. Its description in RNAcentral is "bacterial SSU rRNA". It matches the Rfam family "Bacterial small subunit ribosomal RNA", at positions 958 to 1392 of the family's 1533-position model. Lineage: Bacteria; Pseudomonadati; Pseudomonadota. The record is from RNAcentral.